Molecule: long non-coding RNA, 208 nt
Filed under: Brassica napus (rape)
Lineage: Eukaryota; Viridiplantae; Streptophyta; Magnoliopsida; Brassicales; Brassicaceae
Description: long non-coding RNA (BNAP_LNC004071)
Source: RNAcentral
AUAUGUUAUGAGAAAAAUUGUACAGAUUUUUGAUCAUAGAUAGUUUGGUAAAAUUAUGUUUCCUUGGAAUUGGAUUGGGAGCCACAUGAAAGUGAACCUCUCCUUAAUAUUGAUAUUCACGUUGACAUUUGCAUUAAAAUCAAGAUGUGUAAGGAAAGGAAAAAAAAUAUUCCGUAUCUAUUAAUAUUGUCUAUAUAAUGAACAUCUC